RNAcentral lists this transfer-messenger RNA (366 nucleotides) under Methylobacterium sp. V23. It matches the Rfam family "Alphaproteobacteria transfer-messenger RNA". From Rfam's summary of the family: Bacterial tmRNA, also known as 10Sa RNA or SsrA, is named for its dual tRNA and mRNA-like properties. Its role is to liberate the mRNA from a stalled ribosome. To accomplish this part of the tmRNA is used as a reading frame that ends in a translation stop signal. The record is from RNAcentral. Lineage: Bacteria; Pseudomonadati; Pseudomonadota; Alphaproteobacteria; Hyphomicrobiales; Methylobacteriaceae.
CGGCUGGACCCGCGCGGCGAUUUCGCCUAUAUCGAGCCUGCGGUUGAUGACCGGUUCGUAAUAACGUUUCAGGACCCGGAGGGCAGUACUCCGGCGCCUCCACCAAAAGCCCAUCCGCAUCCGCAGGUGGUCUUCUGAUGGGGGCGAAAUAGGAUCGACUGGGCGGUAAAGGGAUCGCGAGUUCGCUCUCACUUCGGUGCGGGACGAUGCGGCUGUCGGUAAGGACUCGACCGGUUCGACGCAGGUAACCCCUGUCUCGAGCAUUUGGCCAAAACUCUAAAUGCCAACGAUAACGUUGUCAUGGAUGCCCGCCUCGCGGCGUAAGCAUCUUGCGGUAGGGUAACCGUCGAAACAGAACCCGGAGCU